GCCUGGAUGGCUCAGUUGGUUGAGCAUCUGACUCUUGAUUUCUCUCAGGUAAUAAUCCUAGGGUUGCGGGAUUGAGCCCUGCCUCAGGCU
RNAcentral lists this transfer RNA (90 nucleotides) under Felis catus (domestic cat). It matches the Rfam family "tRNA". From Rfam's summary of the family: Transfer RNA (tRNA) molecules are approximately 80 nucleotides in length. Their secondary structure includes four short double-helical elements and three loops (D, anti-codon, and T loops). The record is from Rfam by way of RNAcentral. Lineage: Eukaryota; Metazoa; Chordata; Mammalia; Carnivora; Felidae.